Molecule: long non-coding RNA, 1308 nt
Organism: Phyllopteryx taeniolatus (common seadragon)
Lineage: Eukaryota; Metazoa; Chordata; Actinopteri; Syngnathiformes; Syngnathidae
Exons: 3
Source: RefSeq, a predicted model, not a curated record
CUGAUGAAAAAACAGGGUCAGUGCAAAAAAAACAAAAGAAAAAAAGUUCUCCUCGACAAGUAGCUCCAUAAGGUUUUGUGAAGGCGCAGGUUGUGUGCUGUCUAGUGUGGUAGAAUGCGAAUUAGACUGUAUAACCUUUGUGUUCUGGGAUGGAUUCCUCUAAAUCACUUUUUUUAUCCCAAUGUACACAAAAAGUUUGGAGUCCAAAGAGCCACAGGACAUCUCCCCACCUGUCAAUUGUUAUGGACAAGGAGGACAGGAUGGCGCUCAGGUGUGACGUGUGAGAGACAAUCAACUUGUAUAUCAAACAAACUUACUCAUAUUGGAUAUCUGUUAAAUGUUUCUACCCUCUAGAGUUUCUGGUUACAGUCAAUGGUUUUUCGCUUGGUUUAGACCAAAGAUUGCCCCACGGGCCAACAUGUAAAGAGAUGUCAAGGACGAACCGUGAUGAUGCGCAUGAGACCACAACCUCCCCCUACCAGUGACAGCAGGAAACAUAUGUUAACAACAUUUCGUAACCUGCUCGUCAAACGGGGAAGAGACUGACUGUGUUGUGUAUUUGAGGUCAACCCACAUUUUAGUAAUGAACAACUUGUCCAUGUAUGCAGAGCAGCUGUGAGUGCGCUUGCCAGUCGAGCGGCGGUAAAAUUAACCUUGUGGAGUGUGUUGCUGCUCCCCAGGCAAAGCUGCACUGGACGGCUACACGUUGCACAUGCCAGGAAGUGCCGCUAUAUUUUCCAUACAUUUGGUUUAGCUCUCUAAGGAUAACUUUUGGCUCUCAGGCAUUGGUGGUAUAGUGGUUAGCAUAGCUACCUUCCAAGCAGUUGACCUGGGUUCGAUUCCCGGGCCAAUGCAAGCAUUUUUGUCUGCGGAAGUAACUCAUCUGCAUAGAAAGACAGAAUAAAUUGUACUAAGUUGUCUAAGAGACUACGAUCAAGGUGCUCUUGAGCAAGGCAACGAACCCUCUUUCCCCUGGAUACUGGGCUCAGCAUACAGUCCUUCUUUGUUCACCCCAUCAGUCUCUUACACAACCCUGCUGCAGAGGAACUACUAUGGAAAGUCAAGGAACAGCUUUUGGGAUCUGUUUAUAAUAUUUUGGACAUUUGUAGGCGCUGUGAAAUGUUUUCAAGAUGAGCUGAACUGCUGAAUCUUCGGUUCACAAACUUCAUUCAUCAUGAUAUUCUGUUCAUGAACAGAAACGAGUGCAAAAGAAAGCAUUUUUUCCCAUCAAACCAAGAAAUACAGUACAGUAUCGAAAUAAAUCAAGAAACACAUUAUUUGUUCAGCACUGCAUUUUAGCUUUGUCUA